Molecule: long non-coding RNA, 640 nt
Organism: Gadus morhua (Atlantic cod)
Lineage: Eukaryota; Metazoa; Chordata; Actinopteri; Gadiformes; Gadidae
Exons: 4
Source: RefSeq, a predicted model, not a curated record
AGACAAAAGACUACGUAGCCCUUGAAACGAAGCGAAAACGUAGCUUGAAACGAAGCUAUCCAAGGACCACACUUCAAAGGGAGGGCUUCGAGGAAAAUCCGGCCGAAAAUGCAUUUUUACUAGUUGUUAUCAUUCGGACUCAUGAUGUAAAGUUGACUGUAUAUUCAGCUCGAAGUCAUACACGGACAAUGCGAUCUCUGAGCUCGAUAAAACAUGACAUAACGGUAAAUAGCCGUUGAACUAUACAUACAAGAUUUUGGCGCGCUCUAGUGGCCAAGCGAAAUCACCAUCAUCAUCAACAGCAUCAUUAUCAACAGCAGCGAUGGCUCAAACAAAGGAAAUGCACAAAUGGACACCACAGGAGACCAGACGCCUCAUUAAUUUCAGGUCGACCAGGGACAAUGAGUUUCUCAGGUCAAAAAUGAUCGCCCGAAAACAGUGGGAGCUUUUUCUGGAAGAAAUGGGGAUGGAGGGAAAAGUUACAAGGCAACAGGCUUCUAAGAAGUGGGAAAACCUCAAAAAGAAGUACAAGGAUUUGAGGACUCCCAAAACUGGGUCGGGGACGGAAAGUGGGGAGGUGACUGUGGCGACGUGGCAGUAUUACGAUUUGAUGCAUGAGGUUCUUGGUGCCCGGCCAGCA